Molecule: ribosomal RNA, 278 nt
Filed under: uncultured bacterium
Lineage: Bacteria
Description: partial 16S ribosomal RNA
Rfam family: Bacterial small subunit ribosomal RNA
Source: RNAcentral
UCCUACGGGAGGCAGCGGUGGGGAAUAUUGCACAAUGGGCGAAAGCCUGAUGCAGCAACGCCGCGUGAAGGAAGAAGGUCUUCGGAUCGUAAACUUCUGUCCUUGGGGAAGAUAAUGACGGUACCCUUGGAGGAAGCCCCGGCUAACUACGUGCCAGCAGCCGCGGUAAUACGUAGGGAGCGAGCGUUGUCCGGAUUUACUGGGUGUAAAGGGUGCGUAGGCGGGUAAGCAAGUCAGAAGUGAAAUCCAUGGGCUUAACCCAUGAACUGCUUUUGAAA